GUAUUAACAACAAAGGUAAUGAGAACAAUUUUAGUAAAUACAUAUUGGUGGCGCUUCUUGCAACUUCUACAGUCGUAAGGAACGAAGACUCAUAUGUAUAUACGAAAUAAAGAUAUCAGAAAGGUCUGUC
RNAcentral lists this non-coding RNA (130 nucleotides) under uncultured Parabacteroides sp. Its description in RNAcentral is "Bacteroidete tryptophan peptide leader RNA". It matches the Rfam family "Bacteroidete tryptophan peptide leader RNA". Lineage: Bacteria; Pseudomonadati; Bacteroidota; Bacteroidia; Bacteroidales; Tannerellaceae. The record is from RNAcentral.